ACAACACGGGAUGCACAUAUCAGGCCAAACAUAUAUCAUAACAUAAAACCACACAUGCAUAUUAGAUUAUAGGAUGAGCAAAAUCAAAAGUGCAAACUUGCCUUGAACGGUGUUGAAGUACUCUAAUGCUUAAUUCUGAUUCGCUUCACACUCCGGACAAUCUAUACGAUUAACAAAGGCACCGAUAAAUAAAUCGUACUCACAUAACCCACAAUAAAGUCGACAACAAGGAAUUCAAAUAAAAACUUAAAUAACAUAACAUAUUAGUAGGCAUAUCUCAUUUACAUGCUAGUAGGAUCAAAAUGCAAAAAGAAUCAACUAAUUUGGAUCUACGAUUUAAAAGAUAUAGCCUUCGGAAGGUUGAAUUCAAAUUUGAGCAAAUUCACAUUUAAACAGUUCAAAAAUGUGAAAUUUUGGUUCUACAAUAUUAUCCUGGUCUUUAUGAGUACACAAGAAAAAGAAUAGCUGAAUUUGGAGUUACGGAUCUCAAAAUAUACCUAAAUGAGAAUUCGGUAUGGAAUCUGCAAAGAAAAUUUAUGCCAUAUAGCGUUCUGGGAAGAACUGUCGCGGCUCCUGCGACGUGGCCACAUGGCGGGCUACUAACGGCUGAGAACCAUUCGCUGCAAAGCUUAAACGACGACCGUUCGCUAUUUAAAGGAAAACAGUUUGAAUAGAAAAAAAUGACCUCUAGACGGUCCAACUUAGAUUGGACGGCAGGGAUGACUCACCAGAGGAACAAGGACAGGGCAUCGCCGGAGUUGAGGAAGAACGGCGCGGGGUGGCUCGGGUCUUGACCGUGGCGUCGCUGGGGUUAGCUCCGGGGAUCGGGGACGACGGGACAAGAUGAGGAGGUAGACGGAGAACUCCAAAACGUCCUCCAGGACGACCAGGGCUUCUGUACCGCCGGCGAGGACCGGCUGGAGCGACGAUUGAUGGCGGCAACCUUCUGUUGAGGUCGUGCACGUCUCUACACUGCUCCCCUGUGCCAAAGAUAGGGUCAUGGAGGUAGAGGGAACCGGAUAGAUGAACUAGGAGGUGCAGGAGGUGCUAGGAGCCCGCGGUGGCGAUGAACUUGACUGGCGGCGGCUCCAACAAGAUCUGAACGAGGCGAAACGGGCACGGGAGGCGGCGAUUUUGGCAAAACUCGAGCAAGGAGGAGUUGGGGCUCUUAUAUAGAUCAGAUAUCGUGGCCUACAGGUCAAGUAUCGAUCGAUUCGAUCCGGUUGCGGUUCUGUGAUCAACAGUGCUCGAGAAGUACACGGCGAU
This 1266-nucleotide long non-coding RNA is filed under the name Triticum aestivum (bread wheat). RNAcentral describes it as "long non-coding RNA (TAES_LNC014910)". Lineage: Eukaryota; Viridiplantae; Streptophyta; Magnoliopsida; Poales; Poaceae. The record is from RNAcentral.